This 30-nucleotide small RNA is filed under the name Bombyx mori (domestic silkworm). RNAcentral's name for it is "ovarian small RNA-36589". The record is from RNAcentral. Lineage: Eukaryota; Metazoa; Arthropoda; Insecta; Lepidoptera; Bombycidae.
UUACGUGAUGAUGACCGUGAUCGCGGUCGA